This 463-nucleotide ribosomal RNA is filed under the name uncultured bacterium. RNAcentral describes it as "partial 16S ribosomal RNA". It matches the Rfam family "Bacterial small subunit ribosomal RNA", at positions 28 to 507 of the family's 1533-position model. The record is from RNAcentral.
GACGAACGCUGGCGGCGUGCUUAACACAUGCAAGUCGAACGGUGAACCUCUUCGGAGGGGAUCAGUGGCGAACGGGUGAGUAACACGUGGGCAACCUGCCCCCGGCUCUGGGAUAACUCCAAGAAAUUGGGGCUAAUACCGGAUGUUCACCGCUUCUCGCAUGGGUGGUGGUGCAAAGGGUUUCCGGCUGGGGAUGGGCCCGCGGCCUAUCAGCUUGUUGGUGGGGUAGUGGCCUACCAAGGCGACGACGGGUAGCCGGCCUGAGAGGGUGACCGGCCACACUGGGACUGAGACACGGCCCAGACGCCUACGGGAGGCAGUAGUGGGGAGUAUUGCGCAAUGGGCGGAAGCCUGACACAGCGACGCCGCGUGGGUGAUGACGGCCUUCGGGUUGUAAACCUCUUUCAGCGGGGACGAAGCGCAAGUGACGGUACCUACAGAAGAAGCACCGGCCAACUACGUG